GAAAUAUAAGAUUAUAUUGAGUUAUUGGGUUGUUAUUAGCUUUUUUAGUAAAGUUACCAAUUUAUUUUUUUCAUUUGUGAUUUCCUAAAGCCAAUGUAGAGGCCCCUAUUUCUGGGUCUAUAAUUUUGGCUAGUGUAUUAUUGAAAUUAGGAAGUUAUGGGAUUAUACGAUUUAUAGGUUUAUUUAAGUUUUCAGGUGGUGGGUAUAUUGUUGUUAUAUGUUGCUUGUUAUUUGUUUGUGGGUGGGAGGUUUAUUAACGUCUAUUAUUUGUGUCGGUCAGAGGGAUAUAACAAGAUUAAUUGCUUAUUCUUCUAUUGGUCAUAUAGGGGCUAUAUGAGAGGGAG
Molecule: long non-coding RNA, 344 nt
Organism: Octopus sinensis (East Asian common octopus)
Lineage: Eukaryota; Metazoa; Mollusca; Cephalopoda; Octopoda; Octopodidae
Exons: 3
Source: RefSeq, a predicted model, not a curated record